ACGCUGGCGGCAUGCCUAACACAUGCAAGUCGAACGAGACCUUCGGGUCUAGUGGCGCACGGGUGCGUAACGCGUGGGAAUCUACCCUUGGGUUCGGAAUAACUCAGAGAAAUUUGAGCUAAUACCGGAUGAUGUCGCAAGACCAAAGAUUUAUCGCCCAAGGAUGAGCCCGCGUAGGAUUAGCUUGUUGGUGAGGUAAAAAGCUCACCAAGGCGACGAUCCUUAGCUGGUCUGAGAGGAUGAUCAGCCACACUGGGACUGAGACACGGCCCAGACUCCUACGGGAGGCAGCAGUGGGGAAUAUUGGACAAUGGGCGAAAGCCUGAUCCAGCAAUGCCGCGUGAGUGAUGAAGGCCUUAGGGUUGUAAAGCUCUUUUACCCGGGAUGAUAAUGACAGUACCGGGAGAAUAAGCCCCGGCUAACUCCGUG
RNAcentral lists this ribosomal RNA (429 nucleotides) under uncultured bacterium. RNAcentral describes it as "bacterial SSU rRNA". It matches the Rfam family "Bacterial small subunit ribosomal RNA", at positions 33 to 507 of the family's 1533-position model. The record is from RNAcentral.